AGAAUCUGCCUUCUGGUCGGGGACAACCACUGGAAACGGUGGCUAAUACCGGAUGUGCCGAAGGGUAAAAGAUUAAUUGCCAGAAGAGGAGCUCGCGUCUGAUUAGCUAGUUGGUAGGGUAAAAGCCUACCAAGGCAUCGAUCAGUAGCUGGUCUGAGAGGAUGACCAGCCACACUGGGACUGAGACACGGCCCAGACUCCUACGGGAGGCAGCAGUGGGGAAUUUUCCGCAAUGGGCGAAAGCCUGACGGAGCAAGACCGCGUGAGGGAGGAAGGCUCUUGGGUUGUAAACCUCUUUUCUCAGGGAAGAACACAAUGACGGUACCUGAGGAAUCAGCCUCGGCUAACUCCGUGCCAGCAGCCGCGGUAAUACGGAGGAGGCAAGCGUUAUCCGGAAUUAUUGGGCGUAAAGCGUCCGCAGGUGGCACUUCAAGUCUGUCGUCAAAGACUGGGGCUUAACCCUGGAAAGGCGGUGGAAACUGAAGCGCUAGAGUGCGGUAGGGGUAGAGGGAAUUCCCGGUGUAGCGGUGAAAUGCGUAGAGAUCGGGAAGAACAUCGGUGGCGAAAGCGCUCUACUGGACCGCAACUGACACUCAGGGACGAAAGCUAGGGGAGCGAAUGGGAUUAGAUACCCCAGUGGUCCUAGCCGUAAACGAUGGAUACUA
Molecule: ribosomal RNA, 665 nt
Filed under: uncultured cyanobacterium
Lineage: Bacteria; Bacillati; Cyanobacteriota
Description: bacterial SSU rRNA
Rfam family: Bacterial small subunit ribosomal RNA
Source: RNAcentral